AAAAAAAAAACCUCAAAACAAAACUAAUUGACUACCAAUCCAAGCAGAAGAAAACCUUAAAAAAAAAAAAAAACAUCAAAUCUGCAAUUCACACGAAAUUUACACAAUAAACUAUUAGAAUCAACUCAAAACCGUGAUCAAAAUCAAGAAGAUUUCUCAAAAUCGUUGCAUUAGAUAAACCCCAAAUUUAGACAGAAAGUACCUCUUUCGACGUAAGCCAUCGCAGAGAGAAUUUCCUGUUUUUCCUUUUUCUCUUUUCCGGGUUCUUCCUAUGCUUUCGUGGCUU
RNAcentral lists this long non-coding RNA (286 nucleotides) under Coffea arabica (coffee). RNAcentral's name for it is "long non-coding RNA (CARA_LNC008358)". Lineage: Eukaryota; Viridiplantae; Streptophyta; Magnoliopsida; Gentianales; Rubiaceae. The record is from RNAcentral.